UUAUUCUCAAAGCUUUCAGAGUUUUGAAAGCUUUGGAUCAAUGGAGGGGAACAUUGCUGGCAACUUUUUGUGUUGGCUCCUCUUAAAUGCAUUAGUGGAACUGUCAAGGAAAUUGGCUCUGGUUUGAUAAGUCUAUGCCAUUGCUGAGAUCCUUCAGCUUCUUUAACUUGUCAUCUUGGAUGUCAUUUUGAA
RNAcentral lists this unclassified non-coding RNA (192 nucleotides) under uncultured Clavulinopsis. RNAcentral's name for it is "sequence contains ITS2". The record is from RNAcentral. Lineage: Eukaryota; Fungi; Basidiomycota; Agaricomycetes; Agaricales; Clavariaceae.